GGUGUUUUUGAAGCUCGGUAGGGGAAGGUCAAGACCCCAGCGGCCUCGGACCGGCACCUCCAAGGGCAUUAGGCCUUGCCAGGGACAGUUGGCUGAGGUCGCCUGCGGAAGUCAGCAGUGAGGUGCCCGCAGCCAGCAGUCUUCGAACAGGAAGUGGGCAGGAAGAUGGUGGUCUUCUAGAGCUACGGAGGGGGAGAAUUACUGAU
Lontra canadensis (Northern American river otter) is the source of this 206-nucleotide long non-coding RNA. RefSeq lists it as uncharacterized. The transcript is spliced from 3 exons. The record is from RefSeq and is a predicted model, not a curated record. NCBI's taxonomy places the organism in Eukaryota, Metazoa, Chordata, Mammalia, Carnivora, Mustelidae.